CCUACGGGAGGCAGCAGUGGGGAAUCUUGCGCAAUGGGCGAAAGCCUGACGCAGCCAUGCCGCGUGAAUGAUGAAGGUCUUAGGAUUGUAAAAUUCUUUCACCGGGGACGAUAAUGACGGUACCCGGAGAAGAAGCCCCGGCUAACUUCGUGCCAGCAGCCGCGGUAAUACGAAGGGGGCUAGCGUUGCUCGGAAUUACUGGGCGUAAAGGGAGCGUAGGCGGAUAGUUUAGUCAGAGGUGAAAGCCCAGGGCUCAACCUUGGAAUUGCCUUUGAUACUGGCUAUCUUGAGUACGGAAGAGGUAUGUGGAACUCCGAGUGUAGAGGUGAAAUUCGUAGAUAUUCGGAAGAACACCAGUGGCGAAGGCGACAUACUGGUCCGUUACUGACGCUGAGGCUCGAAAGCGUGGGGAGCAAACAGGAUUAGAUACCCUGGUAGUCCACGCUGUAAACGAUGAGUGNUAGUGUCGCAUNNANNNUGUGUGCGCNGCACGACAUAAGUACACUCCGCCGUCGGGAGGUACGGUCGGCGAGAAGUUAAACGUAACGUUAAAGAAAGUAGUUAGGCGUGAGAGNGCCGACGGACGACGACGAGGGAGGAGG
This 602-nucleotide ribosomal RNA is filed under the name uncultured bacterium. RNAcentral's name for it is "bacterial SSU rRNA". The stretch from base 1 to 511 matches the Rfam family "Bacterial small subunit ribosomal RNA", at positions 338 to 873 of the family's 1533-position model. The record is from RNAcentral.